RNAcentral lists this ribosomal RNA (253 nucleotides) under uncultured bacterium. RNAcentral describes it as "partial 16S ribosomal RNA". It matches the Rfam family "Bacterial small subunit ribosomal RNA", at positions 524 to 776 of the family's 1533-position model. The record is from RNAcentral.
UACGGGGGGGGCAAGCGUUGUUCGGAAUUACUGGGCGUAAAGGGCGCGUAGGCGGGCGGACAAGUCUCUCGUGAAAUCCCACGGCUCAACCGUGGAACUGCGGGAGAUACUGUCUGUCUUGAGUCCGGGAGAGGAGGGUGGAAUUCCCAGUGUAGCGGUGAAAUGCGUAGAUAUUGGGAGGAACACCGGUGGCGAAGGCGGCUCUCUGGACCGGUACUGACGCUGAGGCGCGAAAGCUAGGGGAGCAAACGGG